This 552-nucleotide ribosomal RNA is filed under the name uncultured bacterium. RNAcentral describes it as "bacterial SSU rRNA". It matches the Rfam family "Bacterial small subunit ribosomal RNA", at positions 214 to 783 of the family's 1533-position model. The record is from RNAcentral.
GGCGCUUCGGGAGGGGCCUGCGUCCGAUUAGCUCGUUGGUGGGGUAAUGGCUCACCAAGGCGACGAUCGGUAGGUGGUCUGAGAGGACGAUCACCCAGACUGGGACUGAGACACGGCCCAGACUCCUACGGGAGGCAGCAGUCGGGAAUUUUGCUCAAUGGGCGCAAGCCUGAAGCAGCAACGCCGCGUGAGGGAUGAAGGCCUUCGGGUUGUAAACCUCUUUUUCCAGGGACGAUGAUGACGGUACCUGAAGAAUAAGUCACGGCUAACUACGUGCCAGCAGCCGCGGUAAUACGUAGGUGACCAGCGUUGUCCGGAUUUACUGGGCGUAAAGAGCGCGCAGGCGGUCGUUCAAGUCGAGUGUGAAAGCCCCCGGCUCAACUGGGGAGGGUCAUUCGAUACUGAUCGACUUGAAGGCAAGAGAGGGAAGCGGAAUUCCCGGUGUAGUGGUGAAAUGCGUAGAUAUCGGGAGGAACACCAGUGGCGAAGGCGGCUUCCUGGCCUGUUCUUGACGCUGAGGCGCGAAAGCUAGGGGAGCAAACGGGAUUAGAU